UCUAAGUUUGAUGGCGACCGGCGCACGGGUGAGUAACACGUAUCCAACCUGCCGAUGACUCGGGGAUAGCCUUUCGAAAGAAAGAUUAAUACCCGAUGGCAUAGUUCUUCCGCAUGGUGGAACUAUUAAAGAAUUUCGGUUAUCGAUGGGGAUGCGUUCCAUUAGGUUGUUGGCGGGGUAACGGCCCACCAAGCCUUCGAUGGAUAGGGGUUCUGAGAGGAAGGUCCCCCACAUUGGAACUGAGACACGGUCCAAACUCCUACGGGAGGCAGCAUG
RNAcentral lists this ribosomal RNA (276 nucleotides) under uncultured bacterium. Its description in RNAcentral is "partial 16S ribosomal RNA". It matches the Rfam family "Bacterial small subunit ribosomal RNA", at positions 78 to 353 of the family's 1533-position model. The record is from RNAcentral.